AGUUGAACGAGAAAGUAUCUUCGGAUGCGAGUACAGUGGCGGACGGGUGAGUAAUACAUAGGAAUCUACCCAAUGGAGGGGGAUAGCUCGAGGAAACUCGAAUUAAUACCGCAUAAUCUCCACGGAGUAAAGAGGGCUUCGGCUCUCGCCAUCGGAUGAGCCUAUGCAAGAUUAGCUUGUUGGUAAGGUAAUGGCUUACCAAGGCUACGAUCUUUAGCUGGUUUGAGAGGACGACCAGCCACAUCGGGACUGAGACACGGCCCGGACUUCUACGGAAGGCAGCAGUAGGGAAUAUUGGACAAUGAGCGAAAGCUUGAUCCAGCCAUGCCGCGUGUGCGAUGAAGACCUUAGGGUUGUAAAGCACUUUAGGUUAUGAGAAAAGAUUUGGUAUUAAUACCACCAAAUUUUGAUGUUAAUUUCAGAAUAAGCACCGGCUAAAUCCGUGCCAGCAGCCGCGGUAAUACGGAUGGUGCAAGCGUUAAUCGGAAUUACUGGGCGUAAAGCGCGCGUAGGUGGCCUAUCAAGUUAGAUGUGAAAUCCCGGGGCUUAACCUCGGAACUGCAUCUAAAACUGAUAAGCUAGAGUACUAGAGAGGAAAGUAGAAUUCUUAGUGUAGCGGUGGAAUGCGUAGAUAUUAAGAGGAAUACCAAUGGGCGAAGGCAACUUUCUGGAUAGAUACUGACACUG
This 687-nucleotide ribosomal RNA is filed under the name uncultured marine bacterium. Its description in RNAcentral is "bacterial SSU rRNA". It matches the Rfam family "Bacterial small subunit ribosomal RNA", at positions 60 to 748 of the family's 1533-position model. The record is from RNAcentral.